CCGAGUUAGGGUCUUCUAGGCCCGACCUCCCAACCCUUUGUUUACCGAACCACUGUUGCUUCGGCGGGCCCGUCUCACGACCGCUGGAGGAUCGUCGAAAGACGUGUCCUCUGGCCCGCGUCCGCCGAUAGCCAACCACUUUAAAACUCUGAAUGAAUCGUGUCUUAUGUCUGAGUCGAUGAUUAAAUUAAAAAGCA
Molecule: unclassified non-coding RNA, 197 nt
Filed under: uncultured Herpotrichiellaceae
Lineage: Eukaryota; Fungi; Ascomycota; Eurotiomycetes; Chaetothyriales; Herpotrichiellaceae
Description: sequence contains ITS1
Source: RNAcentral